CUCACCAGGUCAGGACACGGUAAGGAUUGACGGACUGAAGGCUCUUUCUCGAUUCCGUGGAAAGUGGUGCAUGGCCGUUUUUGGUUGGUGGAUCGAUCCGUCUGGUUAAUUCCGUUAACGAACGAGACCUCGGCACUCCGAAUAGCGCGGCGGACGUCGCGGCCUCCGGGCCGUCUUCCGCACGAGCUUCUUAGAGGGACCGUCCCCCGCCGGGGAAGGAGGUGCGAGGCAACGACAGGUCUGUGAUGCCCUUAGAUGUUCUGGGCCGCACGCGCAUUACACUGACGCGUCCAACGGGUGACUCCCGACCCGAAGGGGCCGGGGAAUCCGCAAGGCGCGUCGUGAUGGGGAUUGAACGUUGCAAUUGUUGUUCACGAACGAGGAAUUCCUAGUAGGCGCGGGUCAUCAACCCCGCGCCGAUUACGUCCCUGCCCUUUGUACAC
This 443-nucleotide ribosomal RNA is filed under the name uncultured eukaryote. RNAcentral describes it as "bacterial SSU rRNA". It matches the Rfam family "Eukaryotic small subunit ribosomal RNA", at positions 1214 to 1667 of the family's 1831-position model. The record is from RNAcentral.